This is a long non-coding RNA of Oncorhynchus keta (chum salmon), 1968 nucleotides long. RefSeq lists it as uncharacterized. Lineage: Eukaryota; Metazoa; Chordata; Actinopteri; Salmoniformes; Salmonidae. The transcript is spliced from 4 exons. The record is from RefSeq and is a predicted model, not a curated record.
GGUUGUUGUUGUUCUCUCCUCUCCCUCAGACAGACGGAGGUACAGAGGUUGUUGUUGUUCUCUCCUCUCCCUCAGACAGACGGAGGUACAGAGGUUGUUGUUGUUCUCUCCUCUCCCUCAGACAGACGGAGGUACAGAGGUUGUUGUUGUUCUCUCCUCUCCCUCAGACAGACGGAGGUACAGAGGUUGUUGUUAUCUCCCCAUCCAGACAGACGGAGGUACAGAGGUUGUUGUUAUCUCCCCAUCCAGACAGACGGAGGUACAGAGGUUGUUGUUCUCUCCUCUCCCUCAGACAGACUGAGGUACAGAGGUUGUUGUUCUCUCCCCAUCCAGACAGACGGAGGUACAGAGGUUGUUGUUAUCUCCCCAUCCAGACAGACGGAGGUACAGAGGUUGUUGUUGUUGUUCUCUCCUCUCCCUCAGACAGACGGAGGUACAGAGGUUGUUGUUAUCUCCCCAUCCAGACAGACGGAGGUACAGAGGUUGUUGUUAUCUCCCCAUCCAGACAGACGGAGGUACAGAGGUUGUUGUUAUCUCCCCAUCCAGACAGACUGAGGUACAGAGGUUGUUGUUCUCUCCUCUCCCUCAGACAGACGGAGGUACAGAGGUUGUUGUUCUCUCCUCUCCCUCAGACAGACUGAGGUACAGAGGUUGUUGUUCUCUCCCCCCUCAGACAGACUGAGGUACAGAGGUUGUUGUUCUCUCCCCCCUCAUACAGACUGAGGUACAGAGGUUGUUGUUCUCUCCCCCCUCAGACAGACGGAGGUACAGAGGUUGUUGUUCUCUCCCCCCUCAGACAGACGGAGGUACAGAGGUUGUUGUUCUCUCCCCCCUCAGACAGACGGAGGUACAGAGGUUGUUGUUCUCUCCCCCCUCAGACAGACGGAGGUACAGAGGUUGUUGUUCUCUCCUCUCCCUCAGACAGACUGAGGUACAGAGGUUGUUGUUGUUCUCUCCUCUCCCUCAGACAGACUGAGGUACAGAGGUUGUUGUUCUCUCCUCUCCCUCAGACAGACUGAGGUACAGAGGUUGUUGUUCUCUCCCCCCUCAGACAGACUGAGGUACAGAGGUUGUUGUUCUCUCCUCUCCCUCAGACAGACGGAGGUACAGAGGUUGUUGUUAUCUCCCCAUCCAGACAGACGGAGGUACAGAGGUUGUUGUUAUCUCCCCAUCCAGACAGACGGAGGUACAGAGGUUGUUGUUCUCUCCUCUCCCUCAGACAGACUGAGGUACAGAGGUUGUUGUUCUCUCCCCAUCCAGACAGACGGAGGUACAGAGGUUGUUGUUAUCUCCCCAUCCAGACAGACGGAGGUACAGAGGUUGUUGUUGUUGUUCUCUCCUCUCCCUCAGACAGACGGAGGUACAGAGGUUGUUGUUAUCUCCCCAUCCAGACAGACGGAGGUACAGAGGUUGUUGUUAUCUCCCCAUCCAGACAGACGGAGGUACAGAGGUUGUUGUUAUCUCCCCAUCCAGACAGACUGAGGUACAGAGGUUGUUGUUCUCUCCUCUCCCUCAGACAGACGGAGGUACAGAGGUUGUUGUUCUCUCCUCUCCCUCAGACAGACUGAGGUACAGAGGUUGUUGUUCUCUCCCCCCUCAGACAGACUGAGGUACAGAGGUUGUUGUUCUCUCCCCCCUCAUACAGACUGAGGUACAGAGGUUGUUGUUCUCUCCCCCCUCAGACAGACGGAGGUACAGAGGUUGUUGUUCUCUCCCCCCUCAGACAGACGGAGGUACAGAGGUUGUUGUUCUCUCCCCCCUCAGACAGACGGAGGUACAGAGGUUGUUGUUCUCUCCCCCCUCAGACAGACGGAGGUACAGAGGUUGUUGUUCUCUCCUCUCCCUCAGACAGACUGAGGUACAGAGGUUGUUGUUGUUCUCUCCUCUCCCUCAGACAGACUGAGGUACAGAGGUUGUUGUUCUCUCCUCUCCCUCAGACAGACUGAGGUACAGAGGUUGUUGUUCUCU